This 1483-nucleotide ribosomal RNA is filed under the name Escherichia coli. Its description in RNAcentral is "bacterial SSU rRNA". It matches the Rfam family "Bacterial small subunit ribosomal RNA". Lineage: Bacteria; Pseudomonadati; Pseudomonadota; Gammaproteobacteria; Enterobacterales; Enterobacteriaceae. The record is from RNAcentral.
ACAGGAAGCAGCUUGCUGCUUUGCUGACGAGUGGCGGACGGGUGAGUAAUGUCUGGGAAACUGCCUGAUGGAGGGGGAUAACUACUGGAAACGGUAGCUAAUACCGCAUAACGUCGCAAGACCAAAGAGGGGGACCUUCGGGCCUCUUGCCAUCGGAUGUGCCCAGAUGGGAUUAGCUUGUUGGUGGGGUAACGGCUCACCAAGGCGACGAUCCCUAGCUGGUCUGAGAGGAUGACCAGCCACACUGGAACUGAGACACGGUCCAGACUCCUACGGGAGGCAGCAGUGGGGAAUAUUGCACAAUGGGCGCAAGCCUGAUGCAGCCAUGCCGCGUGUAUGAAGAAGGCCUUCGGGUUGUAAAGUACUUUCAGCGGGGAGGAAGGGAGUAAAGUUAAUACCUUUGCUCAUUGACGUUACCCGCAGAAGAAGCACCGGCUAACUCCGUGCCAGCAGCCGCGGUAAUACGGAGGGUGCAAGCGUUAAUCGGAAUUACUGGGCGUAAAGCGCACGCAGGCGGUUUGUUAAGUCAGAUGUGAAAUCCCCGGGCUCAACCUGGGAACUGCAUCUGAUACUGGCAAGCUUGAGUCUCGUAGAGGGGGGUAGAAUUCCAGGUGUAGCGGUGAAAUGCGUAGAGAUCUGGAGGAAUACCGGUGGCGAAGGCGGCCCCCUGGACGAAGACUGACGCUCAGGUGCGAAAGCGUGGGGAGCAAACAGGAUUAGAUACCCUGGUAGUCCACGCCGUAAACGAUGUCGACUUGGAGGUUGUGCCCUUGAGGCGUGGCUUCCGGAGCUAACGCGUUAAGUCGACCGCCUGGGGAGUACGGCCGCAAGGUUAAAACUCAAAUGAAUUGACGGGGGCCCGCACAAGCGGUGGAGCAUGUGGUUUAAUUCGAUGCAACGCGAAGAACCUUACCUGGUCUUGACAUCCACAGAACUUUCCAGAGAUGGAUUGGUGCCUUCGGGAACUGUGAGACAGGUGCUGCAUGGCUGUCGUCAGCUCGUGUUGUGAAAUGUUGGGUUAAGUCCCGCAACGAGCGCAACCCUUAUCCUUUGUUGCCAGCGGUCCGGCCGGGAACUCAAAGGAGACUGCCAGUGAUAAACUGGAGGAAGGUGGGGAUGACGUCAAGUCAUCAUGGCCCUUACGACCAGGGCUACACACGUGCUACAAUGGCGCAUACAAAGAGAAGCGACCUCGCGAGAGCAAGCGGACCUCAUAAAGUGCGUCGUAGUCCGGAUUGGAGUCUGCAACUCGACUCCAUGAAGUCGGAAUCGCUAGUAAUCGUGGAUCAGAAUGCCACGGUGAAUACGUUCCCGGGCCUUGUACACACCGCCCGUCACACCAUGGGAGUGGGUUGCAAAAGAAGUAGGUAGCUUAACCUUCGGGAGGGCGCUUACCACUUUGUGAUUCAUGACUGGGGUGAAGUCGUAACAAGGUAACCGUAGGGGAACCUGCGGUUGGAUCACCUCCUUACCUUAAAGAAGC